GCGUUGGUGGUAUAAGUGGUGAGCAUAGCUGACUUCCGAGCAGUUGACCCGCGUUCGAUUCCCGGCCAACGCA
Pelobates cultripes (western spadefoot toad) is the source of this 73-nucleotide non-coding RNA. The record is from the annotation of a GenBank genome assembly. Lineage: Eukaryota; Metazoa; Chordata; Amphibia; Anura; Pelobatidae.